CCAACAGGGAUUCCCCUAGUAGUGGCGAAUGAAGCGGGAAAAGCUCAAGUUUGAAAUCUGAUGGGCUCGUCCCCUCAGAGUUGCAAGCUGAAGAGGCAUAGACCGACGUUGUCUGGGCCCAAUUUCCUUGGAACAGGAAGUCAUGGAGGGUGAGAACCCCGUCCGUGGCAUCUGAGCCUUCGUCCUUGUGUCGUGUCCUCGAAGAGUCGGGUUGUUUGGGAAUGCAGGCGUCAAAAUGGGUGGUAAAUUCCAUCUAAGGCUAAAUAUUGGCGAGAGACCGAUAGCAAACAAGUAGAGUGAUCGAAAGAUGAAAAGUACUUUGAAAAGAGAGUGAAACAGUACCGUGAAAUUGUUGAAAGGGAAGCCGUU
RNAcentral lists this ribosomal RNA (369 nucleotides) under uncultured fungus. Its description in RNAcentral is "LSU rRNA". It matches the Rfam family "Eukaryotic large subunit ribosomal RNA", at positions 65 to 424 of the family's 3401-position model. The record is from RNAcentral. Lineage: Eukaryota; Fungi.